Danio rerio (zebrafish) is the source of this 2486-nucleotide non-coding RNA. NCBI's taxonomy places the organism in Eukaryota, Metazoa, Chordata, Actinopteri, Cypriniformes, Danionidae. The record is from RefSeq and is a predicted model, not a curated record.
GGUUAAUGAUAAUGUUUUAUUGAGCAUUGUUUUUGUUUAAUUGGUAAACUGGCUUAUUCCAGAUUUUGUUAAAAGUACAAUGUAACAGACAUUUUUGUUAAAGGCUGCAUUUGUUCCAUUUUUUUUCUAGUUUUCAUUGAGGGAAAGAGCAAAUUUAUAUACUAAAUUUAUUUUUCUAAAGAUGUUACAAAACAAAUUCAUUAUACUCCCUGCACAUAGUGUUAUAUGCUUAUGAUUUUGGCAUUUAUAAUUAUUAUUAAUUUAUUUUUUUUGUUUCAAAAUAUUCUGGUACUAGCAAGGAGUUCAGAGUGUUUGGCUGAUUACAUGCGGAGUUUAAUAAACCUUUUGGAAAAUGCUUUCCAGACACCUUUUUUUCAGUGAUUAUUGUGACACUUCAGAUUAAGUUAAUGACUGGUGGGAUUGCUAAAAUCUAAGAAUCUACGUAAAAGUAAGUAAACUAAACACUUGAGAAUAUUUAUGUAAUUAUUUUUACACAAAACAGCAUGUGUAAACACAUUCUAUAAGCUAAAUAUUGCAUAUUGUGUAAAAUUAAAGCUUUUAUCUUCUAACACAUUUCAGGCACUGCAUUCAACCUUCACUAGAUGAUGACUUCAAGGAAACACAUUUCUGGACAAAAACAACACUAAAGUUCAUCAGGAAACAAUGGAAAGAGAUCAGGAUUGCAACUUUGGUUGCUGCAAUAACGAGUUUGAACACAAGGACUCUCUUUUCCUGACAAGUCUCUAUUUGGAUAAGAGACCUUUCAAGUAUAAAUUUGGGUAAGUUUUGUUGAUUAUUAAACAUCAAUUUAAAAGUACUAAUUACCUAUUUAACUCUUGCUUUACCUUACACAGAUGAGCAAUUCGGUGCUUCCAACUUUGCAGAAACGGGGUGUGGCCAGGCUCUAAGCUUCAGUGAGUACAUAUAAAUUAUAAGCUUUUAAAUUAACUGCCAUGCAUCAAUUUGUCAGAUCAUACAUGCUACUGUUUGGUCAGUUGCUCAACUAACCUUACUCUGUUGGUAUCACAAAAUUGUAGAACUAAAAUUACCUUUCAUUAAAAGAGUAUUUUAUUACAACCCAAACGUGUUUCCAAUCUUUCCUUGUAUAGCAGUGGAUUGUCCUAAUUUACAAUCUCAAAACAGAUUUUUAUGCUUGAUCUCAACUGAAGUGUAAUUUUAUUUUAGUUUAUAUUUAACUUAAUUUUAUGCUAGCUUUUAAAAAAUAAUAAAAAAUUAUAUUGCUAAAGUUGUCUUGCACAUUUACAGAACAAUAUUACCACACAUUCAUCACAUUGUCAUCUUAGUAAAGUUUGUUUGUGUUUAAAAAAAAAAAAAAGAGUAAAGAAAAUCUCAGCUAAAUUGUAUUAUAUUUAUGUACAUUGUUUACAUUAUUAUUAUUAUUCUUUUGAGUUGGAAAUAACACAAACUGCUCAAUAUUUCGAAACUGCAGCAAUAUUUACUGUAGCUAUUGUGUAAAUGCUAAAAUUAGUUAUAUUUAUUUAAUAACUAUUAAUGUUAGAAUUGUUCCUUUUUUGUUUCUUUUCCCCUGUUCACAGAGAGGACCUUCUAAAAGUUCCGGUUUUCUGAACAUUGUAUCCUGUGUGUAAGAGACCUCUCUUCAGUCAAGUCUGGACCCAGUCAGACGCCAGUCUUAAGGAUAAUUGAUGAGAGAUCAUGCCAGUCCAUAUUGAAAUAGUGACUACAUGCAAGACUUCAAGCAGUACUACAUUUCAAGUUUGGAACAUACACAGUCCUGUGUCUUCCGUCAAGUGUGGGCUCAAUACUAUUGUUCAACCAGAGCAAGCAGCCCUGAUGGAUGUACAGUAUAUGUCUUCAUUGAUUAUCCUUACUUUUAUAUAUGGACACAUUUUAUUUCCAACAUCAACACGCCUUUGUGAGUACACUGGUCAAGUUAUUGGAUCAGCUCAAACUGUUUUAACACAGUCCCUGUAUGUAGUUUCAUUAAAAUCUAAUAAUUAUAGUUUGUGCCUUCAGUUGCUAUAGACUGUAUUUACUAGUUCAUUUUGCAAUUCAAAAACCUGAUUGAUUGUUGUAAAAUCUGUGGCAAACAACUGUAAUGUCUUUUGUGUUUUACCGUGUUUUUUACGGUAAAGUUCUGGCAACCACAGCUGCCGGUAAUUUUCUGUAAAACUGAACUUUACAAUAAAAUACUAUUAUAUUUAAUACAGUUGUUUUAUGUUUAUUACGGAAAUAGAAUGUAGUUAGUUUUACAGUAUAUUUAUUAUACACAGUAGUUUACUGUAAAGGAAUUUACACUUACGACUGCUAUUUUUAAAGUAAUUUACUGUAAACAUGUUUACAAUACAUUUGUUUUAUUUAACAGAAAUUUACUGUAAACAUACAGCAGUUUUCAACUGUAAAAUUUACAGAUCAUCAAAAAGUAUUCUGUAAAGCAUUGCACGUUGCAACCUUAUAUUUUACGGUGAACUUCUGGCAACCACAGCUGCCGGUAUUUUACCGUAUAU